GGANUGCCAUGGGCGAAAGCCUGACGCAGCGACGCCGCGUGAGUGAUGAAGGCCUUCGGGUUGUAAAGCUCUGUGGGGAGAGACGAAUAAGUGCAGGCUAAUACUCCGCAUGAUGACGGUAUCUCCUUAGCAAGCACCGGCUAACUCUGUGCCAGCAGCCGCGGUAAGACAGAGGGUGCAAACGUUGUUCGGAAUUACUGGGCGUAAAGCGAGUGUAGGCGGUUUGGUAAGUCGGGUGUGAAAGCCCUGGGCUCAACCCAGGAAGUGCACUCGAAACUACCAAGCUAGAGUAUCGGAGAGGUUGGUGGAAUUCUCGGUGUAGAGGUGAAAUUCGUAGAUAUCGAGAGGAACACCGGUGGCGAAGGCGGCCAACUGGACGAAUACUGACGCUGAGACUCGAAAGCGUGGGGAGCAAACAGGAUUAGAUACCCUGGUAGUCCACGCCGUAAACGAUGGGUGCUAGGUGUCGCGGGCUUUGACUCCUGCGGUGCCGUAGCUAACGCAUUAAGCACCCCGCCUGGGAAGUACGGCCGCAAGGCUAAAACUCAAAGAAAUUGACGGA
This 562-nucleotide ribosomal RNA is filed under the name uncultured bacterium. RNAcentral describes it as "bacterial SSU rRNA". It matches the Rfam family "Bacterial small subunit ribosomal RNA", at positions 359 to 917 of the family's 1533-position model. The record is from RNAcentral.